GAUGAACGCUAGCUACAGGCUUAACACAUGCAAGUCGAGGGGAAACGAUAUUGGAAGCUUGCUUCCGAUAGGCGUCGACCGGCGCACGGGUGAGUAACGCGUAUCCAACCUGCCCAUCACUUGGGAAUAACCUUGCGAAAGUAAGACUAAUGCCCAAUGACAUUUAUAGAAGGCAUCUGAAAUGAAUUAAAGAUUUAUCGGUGAUGGAUGGGGAUGCGUCUGAUUAGUUUGUUGGCGGGGUAACGGCCCACCAAGGCGACGAUCAGUAGGGGUUCUGAGAGGAAGGUCCCCCANAUUGGAACUGAGACACGGUCCAAACUCCUACGGGAGGCAGCAGUGAGGAAUAUUGGUCAAUGGGCGAGAGCCUGAACCAGCCAAGUAGCGUGCAGGAAGACGGCCCUAUGGGUUGUAAACUGCUUUUAUAGGGGAAUAAAGUGAGCCACGUGUGGUUUUUUUGCAUGUACCCUAUGAAUAAGGACCGGCUAAUUCCGUG
Molecule: ribosomal RNA, 493 nt
Filed under: uncultured bacterium
Lineage: Bacteria
Description: bacterial SSU rRNA
Rfam family: Bacterial small subunit ribosomal RNA
Source: RNAcentral